CCCGCCGGCGACCGGCGCACGGGUGAGUAACACGUAUGCAACCUGGCCGCCACAGGGGGAUAACCCGCGGAAACGCGGCCUAAUACCCCGUGACGCCACCGGAGGGCAUCCUCCGGUGGCCAAAGGAGCGAUCCGGUGGCGGAUGGGCAUGCGGCGCAUUAGCUAGACGGCGGGGUGACGGCCCACCGUGGCGACAAUGCGUAGGGGUUCUGAGAGGAAGGCCCCCCACACUGGGACUGAGACACGGCCCAGACUCCUACGGGAGGCAGCAG
RNAcentral lists this ribosomal RNA (272 nucleotides) under uncultured bacterium. Its description in RNAcentral is "partial 16S ribosomal RNA". It matches the Rfam family "Bacterial small subunit ribosomal RNA", at positions 84 to 354 of the family's 1533-position model. The record is from RNAcentral.